GGAAUUUUGGGCAAUGGGGGCAACCCUGACGAAGCAACGCCGCGUGGAGGAUGAAGGCCUUCGGGUCGUAAACUCCUGUCGACCGGGACGAAAGCAGUCUGGCCUAAUACGCCGGGCUGUCGACUGUACCGGUGGAGGAAGCCACGGCUACAUCUGUGCCAGCAGCCGCGGUAAUACAGAGGUGGCAAGCGUUGUUCGGAAUUACUGGGCGUAAAGGGCGCGUAGGCGGUCUUGUAAGUUCCGUGUGAAAUCCCUCGGCUCAACUGAGGAACUGCACGGGAAACUGCAAGGCUUGAGUUCGGGAGAGGGAAGCGGAAUUCCGGGUGUAGCGGUGAAAUGCGUAGAUAUCCGGAGGAACACCGGUGGCGAAGGCGGCUUCCUGGACCGACACCGACGCUGAGGCGCGAAAGCUAGGGGAGCAAAC
RNAcentral lists this ribosomal RNA (424 nucleotides) under uncultured bacterium. RNAcentral describes it as "bacterial SSU rRNA". It matches the Rfam family "Bacterial small subunit ribosomal RNA", at positions 358 to 773 of the family's 1533-position model. The record is from RNAcentral.